Molecule: long non-coding RNA, 1545 nt
Organism: Saccostrea cuccullata (small rock oyster)
Lineage: Eukaryota; Metazoa; Mollusca; Bivalvia; Ostreida; Ostreidae
Exons: 2
Source: RefSeq, a predicted model, not a curated record
UUAAAAAAAAAUUUUAUACCAGUGCUAUCCUUAAGCUGGUUUAUUUUUCAUAUAAAGAGAUGUCCAGUUUGAUGUAAAUAGCAAUAAAAAUUUCAACAUUUGACUUGUAGUUGAGUUAUCACGAUGUGAAGUUGUGUGAUUUUUCCGGAAUUGAGAAAUUUCCAUCAAAUUCUCACAUUCAAAACAAGAUUUAGAUAUGGCCGCACGCAAACAACACGAUAAAAAUUUAAUAGAUUGUUUAAAAUUGCACAAUAAAUUAUUUCCCAGAGUAUCAUUCUGUUGUUUGCAUGCGGCCACCAUGAAAAAUAUAUAAAACGAUGUUUUUUUAGGCCGAUUUUGAUCGCUUCCGGUUUCGGUUUUUAUAUUCAGACGUAAACAACAGGUGAACAAAGUUGGAGGAAACAGAAAAUGUGACAGUAGAUUUAUCGAAGUUCUAACCAUUUAACAGGAUGCCUGGAGAUGGUCCAAAACAAUAUCCUGUUACUGGAGCUGUUACUUGUUGGUAUUGUCAGUGUCGUGCCCAUGUGGCCUCAGUGUUGUGGUUUCUUGGCUAUGAAAGACACACGAACUUUGCAGUAAGACCUAUUCAAGACUGGGCUGACUACCUUGAGGAUGCAGCUGUGCAACCUGCAGUAAUGGAUGGCUCAACAGAAAGUGAAAUGAGUGCAACGGAAGAGUGACAUGAAUUGUGACAUUGGUUUAUUGAAAGUGAACAUUCUGCAGAUUAUAGGUGUUUCCAUAUGAAUGAAAAUUUUCAAGAGGGACGUUAAACAAUAUACAAUCAAUCAAUCAAUCUGCAGGUUAUGAUAUCCACUGCAUUAGACUCCCAUUAUUGUUUUCAACAAUAUAGUGGAAGGCUGUGUAUAUAUUGUUAUUAAUUAAUAGUAAAUAGGGAUUUUUAUGUAUCUAUGUUUUUUUUAUGUUUAAAUUGUGAUUUCUUAACAUCUGUCAUAUAAUUGAGAAAUUAAAAUAUAGUACAUUGUACAUCCCAAAAACAUAUUAGAUUCAUUGCAUGAGUUUAAUAAGUUCGGUUGUAAAUAUUGAAAGAUGAAUUAUGUACUUUGACAAAUGAAAUAAUUUGUUAUUAUCGUAUGAUUAAUUGUUAUCAAAAUUAAUAUACUGAUGUAAAAUGCAUAAUGCAUCACAAAAUGUUUCUCAGAUAAUAGUAACAAUUAUAGUUUAUUAUGCAGUGUGUUUAUUUGCAUAUUGAACUUUGUUAAUAAUUAACAUGACUGUAUAUAAGUACGUGUUAUUUUUUGUAAUACAAUGUAAUUACAAAACCUUUCCAGACAAACAUGUACUAGAAUAACUAAUUCUUUGAUGCUUAGGUCAUUUUUAUGACAUUGUGAGGAUGAUAAACAUUAUCUUAUUAUGAGUAAAUGUAGUGUAUAAGGCAUGAGUGGUGUGAUGUUAAACUUCUAUGAUCUUUUUGGAAAAAGUAUAGGUGGGUAAUGGGAGUUCUGGAAUUUGUUUAUGCAAACUGAAAUCCCUUAUUGUUAUUUUUGUCAAGUUUAAUGAAUUGUUAUUAAAAAUGUUAGUUGAAUA